CCUACGGGUGGCAGCAGUGGGGAAUAUUGCACAAUGGGGGAAACCCUGAUGCAGCGACGCCGCGUGAGUGAAGAAGUAUUUCGGUAUGUAAAGCUCUGUCAGCCGGGAAGAAAAUGACGGUACCUGACCAAGAAGCCCCGGCUAACUACGUGACAGCAGCCGCGGUAAGACGUAGGGGGCAAGCGUUAGCCGGAUUUACUGGGUGUAAAGGGAGCGUAGACGGCAGGGCAAGUCUGGAGUGAAAGGCGGGGGCUCAACCCCCGGACUGCUCUGGAUACUGGCAGGCUGGAGUGCAGGAGAGGUAAGUGGAAUUCCUAGUGUAGCGGUGAAAUGCGUAGAGAUUAGGAGGAACACCAGUGGCGAAGGCGGCUUACUGGACUGUAACUGACGUUGAGGCUCGAAAGCGUGGGGAGCAAACAGGAUUAGAUACCCCAGUAGUC
RNAcentral lists this ribosomal RNA (440 nucleotides) under uncultured bacterium. Its description in RNAcentral is "partial 16S ribosomal RNA". It matches the Rfam family "Bacterial small subunit ribosomal RNA", at positions 338 to 795 of the family's 1533-position model. The record is from RNAcentral.